GUUAUCUAUAAAUAGCCAUUUGGUUUCUUUUACAAUCUUCAUAAAUCAAUUCCUUGAUCCCAAAGAAGAAAGAGACUAAGAGAGAAUAAAUAAAAAAAGAAUAAAAAAAGAGAAGAGAAAUGUCAGGUGGAUGCUCAGAUACUGCAGGUGAAGGGAUGAAGAGCUCAUGGCCUGAAUUGGUGGGGAGAAGAGGAGAAGAAGCAAAAGAGAUCAUCGAUAGAGAGAACACCAAAGUGACGGCUAGGAUUAUAUCUGAAAAUGCGGUUGUUUUGACCGUUGUAGUUUGCGAUAGGGUUUAUGUUCGUGUCAAUGACCACGGCAUUGUCACAAAAACCCCGGUCGUUGGGUAAUUUAUUGAUACAUAUUAACAUAUAUGUGUGUAAGAAUCAAUGUGGAACUUAAUAUGUGUAACGUAAGCCUUUUUUUUAAAAAAAAAAAGAAACUUAAUAUGUAAUAUAUGUGUGAAAUAUA
Molecule: non-coding RNA, 471 nt
Organism: Camelina sativa (false flax)
Lineage: Eukaryota; Viridiplantae; Streptophyta; Magnoliopsida; Brassicales; Brassicaceae
Source: RefSeq, a predicted model, not a curated record